UGGGGAAUUUUGGACAAUGGGGGCAACCCUGAUCCAGCAAUGCCGCGUGUGUGAAGAAGGCCUUCGGGUUGUAAAGCACUUUUGUCCGGAAAGAAAUCCUUGGCUCUAAUACAGUCGGGGGAUGACGGUACCGGAAGAAUAAGCACCGGCUAACUACGUGCCAGCAGCCGCGGUAAUACGUAGGGUGCAAGCGUUAAUCGGAAUUACUGGGCGUAAAGCGUGCGCAGGCGGUUUGCUAAGACCGAUGUGAAAUCCCCGGGCUCAACCUGGGAACUGCAUUGGUGACUGGCAGGCUAGAGUAUGGCAGAGGGGGGUAGAAUUCCACGUGUAGCAGUGAAAUGCGUAGAGAUGUGGAGGAAUACCGAUGGCGAAGGCAGCCCCCUGGGCCAAAUACUGACGCUCAUGCACGAAAGCGUGGGGAGCAAACAGGAUUAGAUACCCUGGUAGUCCACGCCCUAAACGAUGUCAACUAGUUGUUGGGGAUUCAUUUCCUUAGUAACGUAGCUAACGCGUGAAGUUGACCGCCUGGGGAGUACGGUCGCAAGAUUAAAACUUAAAUGAAUUGACGGGGUCAUAGCUGUUUCCU
This 586-nucleotide ribosomal RNA is filed under the name uncultured bacterium. RNAcentral's name for it is "partial 16S ribosomal RNA". It matches the Rfam family "Bacterial small subunit ribosomal RNA", at positions 355 to 1375 of the family's 1533-position model. The record is from RNAcentral.